GAAAGGGUAGUUCAAUUGGUAGAAUUUUAGUUUGUCAGGCUAAGUGUUGUGGGUUCAAAUCCCAUCUCUUUCG
Molecule: transfer RNA, 73 nt
Filed under: Rhizaria sp.
Lineage: Eukaryota
Description: tRNA-Asp
Rfam family: tRNA
About the family: Transfer RNA (tRNA) molecules are approximately 80 nucleotides in length. Their secondary structure includes four short double-helical elements and three loops (D, anti-codon, and T loops).
Source: RNAcentral